UCGUUGUGUAGCGAGUGGUGAUGCCAGC
Molecule: non-coding RNA, 28 nt
Filed under: Bombyx mori (domestic silkworm)
Lineage: Eukaryota; Metazoa; Arthropoda; Insecta; Lepidoptera; Bombycidae
Source: RNAcentral